AGAGUUUGAUCCUGGCUCAGGAUGAACGCUAGCGGCAGGCCUAAUACAUGCAAGUCGAGGGGGAAGGCUCUUUCGGGAGUACACGACCGGCGCACGGGUGCGUAACGCGUAUGCAACCUACCUUUAACUGGGGAAUAGCCCCGAGAAAUCGGGAUUAAUACCUCAUAACACUGCGAAGUGGCAUCACUUUGCAAUUAAAGCUCCGGCGGUUAAAGAUGGGCAUGCGUGACAUUAGCUAGUUGGUGAGGUAACGGCUCACCAAGGCUACGAUGUCUAGGGGUUCUGAGAGGAUGAUCCCCCACACUGGUACUGAGACACGGACCAGACUCUUACGGGAGGCAGCAGUAAGGAAUAUUGGUCAAUGGGCGCAAGCCUGAACCAGCCAUCCCGCGUGCAGGAUGACGGCCCUAUGGGUUGUAAACUGCUUUUAUACACCAAGAAAAAUCUCCACGUGUGGGGACCCGACGGUAGUGUAAGAAUAAGCAUCGGCUAACUCCGUGCCAGCAGCCGCGGUAAUACGGAGGAUCCAAGCGUUAUCCGGAUUUAUUGGGUUUAAAGGGUGCGUAGGCUGAUUGAUAAGUCAGCGGUGAAAUUUUUCCGCUCAACUGGAAAAAUGCCAUUGAUACUGCCAGUCUGGAGUAUGGUUGAGGUAGCUGGAAUGUGUCAUGUAGCGGUGAAAUGCUUAGAGAUGACACAGAACACCGACGGCGAAGGCAGGUUACCAACCCAUUACUGACGCUGAGGCACGAAAGCGUGGGGAUCAAACAGGAUUAGAUACCCUGGUAGUCCACGCCGUAAACUAUGAUUACUAGUUGUUGGCGAUACAUUGCCAGUGACUGAGCGAAAGCAUUAAGUAAUCCACCUGGGGAGUACGUUCGCAAGAAUGAAACUCAAAGGAAUUGACGGGGGCCCGCACAAGCGGAGGAACAUGUGGUUUAAUUCGAUGAUACGCGAGGAACCUUACCUGGGCUCGAACGUAGGCUGCAUUCGGCUGAAAGGCUGAUUCCCUUCGGGGCUGCUUACGAGGUGCUGCAUGGUUGUCGUCAGCUCGUGCCGUGAGGUGUCGGGUUAAGUCCUGUGCAACGAGCGCAACCCUUAUCCUUAGUUACCAGCAUUUAGUUGGGGACUCUAGGGAGACUGCCGGUGAUAAACCGGAGGAAGGUGGGGAUGACGUCAAAUCAUCACGCCCUUUAUGACUUGGGCGACACACGUACUACAAUGGUAUAUACAAAGGGCAGCUACCAGGUGACUGGAUGCGAAUCUUUAAAAUCGGUCUCAGUUCGGAUCGGAGUCUGCAACUCGACUCCGUGAAGUCGGAUUCGCUAGUAAUCGCGCAUCAGCCAUGGCGCGGUGAAUACGUUCCCGGGCCUUGUACACACCGCCCGUCAAGCCAUGGAAGCUGGGGGUGCCUGAAGUUCGUGACCGCAAGGAGCGACCUAGGGCAAAACUAGUAACUGGGGCUAAGUCGUAACAAGGUAACC
This 1481-nucleotide ribosomal RNA is filed under the name uncultured bacterium. Its description in RNAcentral is "16S ribosomal RNA". It matches the Rfam family "Bacterial small subunit ribosomal RNA". The record is from RNAcentral.